This is a long non-coding RNA of Lynx canadensis (Canada lynx), 1527 nucleotides long. RefSeq lists it as uncharacterized. The transcript has 3 exons. Lineage: Eukaryota; Metazoa; Chordata; Mammalia; Carnivora; Felidae. The record is from RefSeq and is a predicted model, not a curated record.
AGCAUGUUCAGAAAAGAACACUAAAGGAGUGGCCAAGCAUCUAUUUGAUAAGAGAUGAGUACGUAUGGGGACAAUGGACUUCAUCAGUCACUCUAGCAGGAAACUUGGUUUCAACUAAAGAAGGAGGAGACAGGAGUACAUGAAGGAUUUCUUGGAUUUCACAGGACAAGUUCAUAGAGCUAUCUGCCUCAGAACUUGCCCCAUUCCUCAAAACAAUGAAAGAAUGACUCUGAAGGCAAUUCAGAGACCAUCAGGGCUGCCUCCUUGAUUUCAAAAUAGGGAAACUAUUGCUUUGCUGUCAAUAAGCCUUGGGGGCAGGGCCACCUUACAGAGCGCUGAGGGCGCAGAGCUCCCAGGACUGGACAGCCACUCCAGUGAGUCUGGAAGGCACAGCAUUGAGCCCAAGAUGAGACUAACAAUCUAAUGUAGUUUGCCUUGGAGGAUACAAUGAGAAGCCGGCUGUCUGCAACCCUGAAGAGGGUGGGCCGUCCUGAUCUUGGAUUGCCAGUUUCCAGAACUGAAGCAACUGGAAUGUUAAAAUGAAGAAAAAUGGAUGAGAAAAUGAUGACACAUCUAUUCAAUGGGAUAUUAUGUAACAAAAUAAUUAGGAAGACUAUGUUACAACAUGAAGCUCAGUAUACGAUGUUCAAUAUAAAAUGUCAAAACAUAAAAUUACAUGUGCACAAUGAUUGCAAACAAAUGAAGUAAUGUAUGAAAAAUUCUUAGAUGGGAUUAUAACUAAAUAAUUGUAGUUGUUCCAUGGGUGGUGAGAUCAUGUCAUUCUCUAAUUUCCAACUUUUGUGUCCAGGAAAACUAUCUCAAGAUUUAUGGUCAAUGAACUGACAUGACUUACCUUUAAAACAUAAUAAAAUGAAUCUAAGUUAUUAAAUAGAUUAAGUUGGGCACAUUAUUGCAAUUUGGUGGGUUAAGUUGCAGAACAGCUGUCUUUAUCCCUUUAUCCUUUAAUUAUUUUCUAUGAUUUAUUUACUUAAACUCUUAUGCAAAAUGCCAAUAAUUCAUUUCUUAAAUUAAAGAGAGGUUUAUCAAAUUAAUCCUUAGAAAAUCUCCUUUGAAAGCAUUCAGAAUGCAGUUUAAAAUUAUGUUUCUUUAAAGAUACACACAGACGAUCCACAAUAUUUCUAUAACUUCUUAUAAGAUGAUUUUCCCAUUUUCUGUCCUUAACUGUAUUUUUCUUACGCUGGACCGCUUUCAUUUCCUUAAUUAUGCCAAAUCACAUCUGGAGUAUUUAGAACACCUUUUUUAGCAUGUUCACAAAAUGGCUUUUUUAUAGGUAAGGGGAGAGAACGUCAAUAUAAGUUUUAUAGGUAGAUGAUCAAAAGUAGAGUGUGUUUUCUAAAAAGGCAUGUUUGAAACCCACAUAUUAGUAAAUUCUCCUGGUGUGAGAUGUUGCCACCUGAGUUAGGUCCACAAUCUUAUUUUGUUUUUCCUUUGGACCCUCUGGUAUCCCCUACGUGAGUCUAUUCUUCUCUGUCUUCGUGCCUUAAUAAAAAUAAUUUAUUUUUAAAA